CUCCUACGGGGGGCAGCAGUGGGGAAUAUUGCACAAUGGGGGAAACCCUGAUGCAGCGACGCCGCGUGAAGGAAGAAGUAUCUCGGUAUGUAAACUUCUAUCAGCAGGGAAGAAAAUGACGGUACCUGACUAAGAAGCUCCGGCUAAAUACGUGCCAGCAGCCGCGGUAAUACGUAUGGAGCAAGCGUUAUCCGGAUUUACUGGGUGUAAAGGGAGCGUAGACGGAGGAGCAAGUCUGAUGUGAAAAUCCGGGGCCCAACCCCGGAACUGCAUUGGAAACUGUUUAUCUAGAGUGUCGGAGAGGG
This 305-nucleotide ribosomal RNA is filed under the name uncultured bacterium. Its description in RNAcentral is "bacterial SSU rRNA". It matches the Rfam family "Bacterial small subunit ribosomal RNA", at positions 336 to 658 of the family's 1533-position model. The record is from RNAcentral.